GAUGAAGAACGUAGCGAAAUGCGAUAAGUAAUGUGAAUUGCAGAAUUCAGUGAAUCAUCGAAUCUUUGAACGCACAUUGCGCCCGCCAGUAUUCUGGCGGGCAUGCCUGUUCGAGCGUCAUUACAACCCUCAGGCCCCCGGGCCUGGCGUUGGGGAUCGGCGGAAGCCCCCUGCGGGCACAACGCCGUCCCCCAAAUACAGUGGCGGUCCCGCCGCAGCUUCCAUUGCGUAGUAGCUAACACCUCGCAACUGGAGAGCGGUGCGGCCACGCCGUAAAACACCCAACUUCUGAAUGUUGACCUCGAAUCAGGUAGGAAUACCCGCUGAACUUAAGCAUAUCCAAUAAGCGGAGGA
RNAcentral lists this unclassified non-coding RNA (354 nucleotides) under soil metagenome. RNAcentral describes it as "partial contains 5.8S ribosomal RNA, internal transcribed spacer 2, and large subunit ribosomal RNA". The stretch from base 1 to 120 matches the Rfam family "5.8S ribosomal RNA", at positions 35 to 154 of the family's 154-position model. The record is from RNAcentral.